UGAACGCUGGCGGCGUGCUUAACACAUGCAAGUCGAACGAGGGUUGCUGGUUGAAGUUUCGGAUGGAAACCGGUAAUUCCUAGUGGCGGACGGGUGAGUAACGCGUGGGGAACCUGCCCCGCUCCGGGGGAUACCAGCUGGAAACGGCUGUUAAUACCGCAUAAGCGCACAGUAUCGCAUGAUGCAGUGUGAAAAACUCCGGUGGAACGGGAUGGCCCCGCGUCUGAUUAGCCAGUUGGCAGGGUAACGGCCUACCAAAGCGACGAUCAGUAGCCGGCCUGAGAGGGCGACCGGCCACAUUGGGACUGAGACACGGCCCAAACUCCUACGGGAGGCAGCAGUGGGGAAUAUUGCACAAUGGGGGAAACCCUGAUGCAAGCGACGCCGCGUGAGUGAGGAAGUAUUUCGGUAUGUAAAGCUCUAUCAGCAGGGAAGAAGAUGACGGUACCUGCACAAGAAGCCCCGGCUAACUACGUGCCAGCCGCGGC
Molecule: ribosomal RNA, 488 nt
Filed under: uncultured bacterium
Lineage: Bacteria
Description: bacterial SSU rRNA
Rfam family: Bacterial small subunit ribosomal RNA
Source: RNAcentral